AUAUCAGAAUACUGUAUGGAUCUGGGUCCAGACUGAUCCAGGUCCAGACUGAUCCAGGUCCAGACUGAUCCGAGUCCAGACUGAUCCAGGUCCAGACUGAUCCGAGUCCAGACUGAUCCAGGUCCAGACUGAUCUGAGUCCAGACUGAUCCAGGUCCAGACUGAUCCAGGUCCAAACUGAUCCGAGUCCAGACUGAUCCGGGUCCAGACUGAUAUGAGUCCAAACUGAUCCGAGUCCAGACUGAUCCAGGUCCAGACUCAUCCAGGUCCAGACUGAUCCGUGUCCAGACUGAUCCGAGUCCAGACUGAUCCGAGUCCAGACUGAUCCAGGUCCAAACUGAUCCAGGUCCAUACUGAUCCGAGUCCAGACUGAUCCAGGUCCAGACUGAUCCAGGUCCAGACUGAUCCAGGUCCAGACUGAUCCAGGUCCAGACUGAUCCGAGUCCAGACUGAUCCGGGUCCAGACUGAUCUGAGUCCAGACUGAUCCAGGCCCAGACUGAUGCAGGUCCAGACUGAUCCGGGUCCAAACUGAUCCAGGUCCAGACUGAUCCAGGUCCAGACUGAUCCGAAUCCAGACUGAUCUGAGUCCAGACUGAUCCAGGUCCAGACUUAUCUGAGUCCAGACUGAUCCAGGUCCAGACUGAUCCAGGUCCAGACUGAUCCGAGUCCAGACUGAUCCAGGUCCAGACUGAUCCAGGUCCAGACUGAUCCGGGUCCAGACUGAUCCGAGUCCAGACUUAUCCAGGUCCAGACUGAUCCAGGUCCAGACUGAUCCGAGUCCAGACUGAUCCGAGUCCAGACUGAUCCAGGUCCAGACUGAUCCAGGUCCAGACUGAUCCGGGUCCAGACUGAUCCGAGUCCAGACUGAUCCGAGUCCAGACUGAUCCAGGUCCAGACUGAUCCGGGUCCAGACUGAUCCAGGUCCAGACUGAUCCGAGUCCAGACUGAUCCAGGUCCAGACUGAUCCAGGUCCAGACUGAUCCAGGUCCAAACAGAUCCGGGUCCAGACUGAUCCGAGUCCAGACUGAUCCAGGUCCAGACUGAUCCAGGUCCAAACAGAUCCGGGUCCAGACUGAUCAGGGUCCAAACUGAUCCGAGUCCAGACUGAUCCGGGUCCAAACAGAUCCGGGUCCAGACUGAUCCGAGUCCAGACUGAUCAGGGUCCAAACUGAUCCAGGUCCAGACUGAUCUGAGUCCAGACUGAUCCAGGUCCAGACUGAUCCGAGUCCAGACUGAUCCAGGUCCAGACUGAUCCAGGUCCAGACUGAUCCAGGUCCAGACUGAUCCAGGUCCAGACUGAUCCAGGUCCAAACUGAUCCGAGUUCAGACUGAUCCGGGUCCAGACUGAUAUGAGUCCAGACUCAUCCAGGUCCAGACUGAUCCAGGUCCAGACUGAUCCGAGUCCAGACUGAUCCAGGUCCAGACUGAUCCAGGUCCAGACUGAUCCGAGUCCAGACUGAUCCAGGUCCAGACUGAUCUGAGUCCAGACUGAUCCGGGCCCAGACUGAUCUGAGUCCAGACUGACCCGAGUCCAGACUGAUCCAGGUCCAGACUGAUAUGAGUCCAAACUGAUCCGAGUCCAGACUGAUCCAGGUCCAGACUGAUCCGGGUCCAGACUGAUCCGAGUCCAGACUGAUCCAGGUCCAGACUGAUCUGAGUCCAGACUGAUCCAGGUCCAGACUGAUCCAGGUCCAAACU
Molecule: long non-coding RNA, 1698 nt
Organism: Austrofundulus limnaeus
Lineage: Eukaryota; Metazoa; Chordata; Actinopteri; Cyprinodontiformes; Rivulidae
Exons: 6
Source: RefSeq, a predicted model, not a curated record